Triplophysa dalaica is the source of this 686-nucleotide long non-coding RNA. RefSeq lists it as uncharacterized. Lineage: Eukaryota; Metazoa; Chordata; Actinopteri; Cypriniformes; Nemacheilidae. The transcript is spliced from 3 exons. The record is from RefSeq and is a predicted model, not a curated record.
UUUUGUUCCUAGUGACACCCGUAGAAUAAGAACGGUAAUUUGCCUUUAAAUACGUCACGUCCUGAGUGUAUUACUCAUAUCGUUGGUGGUUUCUUGGUUGCUGGUCGCUGGAAGAACGUGCUGCUUAUUCUGUGCGCAUUGCGUGAAUCGUUUCUGCCUGUGUCGGUGGAUAUUGAUAGACGGGUACAUCACAGUACGGUUACCCAGUUUUCAUCUGACUGUGAGUCGUAAGGGCUGAAUGACGGAUACAACACCCUGUAUCUGUUACCGUAAACACUGAUAUACGCUGCACUCAAUGAAUGAGACGUGUGGGGGAUCCUUUUGAGUUUCCAGGUGCAGUUGACAUGGAAAUGAAGAGUGCUUCUGGUCUGGAUUGAUCACUGUUUCCCAUCCUUUUAUUCUUUUUGAGAUUUGGAUUGUUUUGUUUUUGUCUUUAUUAAUUUCGUUGUGGGCCCAUGAAAUACCAUUACCGCCAAUAGAGGGGGGAAUCAGUCGCUUAAGUCCACGUGUGGGUGUAAUGAAGUGACAUUUGAGUUGUUUUACACUUAAGUGUGAUUUCUCUUUUCUUUGAAGUGAGUUGUACGUUUUAUUUUAUUUUGAGAGUGUCUGUACCCCCUAUAUUGGAUGUUAGUGUAUGUGCUGGUUUUGAACCAGUUCCUACUGAUGUUGAACAUCAAGAGAAUUAA